UACGUAGGGUCCGAGCGUUGUCCGGAAUUACUGGGCGUAAAGGGCGCGUAGGCGGCCUGCUAAGUCGAACGUGAAAUCCCUGGGCUCAACCCAGGAACUGCGUCCGAUACUGGUUGGCUUGAAUCCGGGAGAGGGAUGUGGAAUUCCAGGUGUAGCGGUGAAAUGCGUAGAUAUCGGAAGGAACAUCAGUGGCGAAAGCGACUUCCUGGACCAAUACUGACGCUCAUGUGCGAAAGCGUGGGGAGCAAACAGG
Molecule: ribosomal RNA, 253 nt
Filed under: uncultured bacterium
Lineage: Bacteria
Description: partial 16S ribosomal RNA
Rfam family: Bacterial small subunit ribosomal RNA
Source: RNAcentral